Molecule: long non-coding RNA, 1853 nt
Organism: Aegilops tauschii subsp. strangulata
Lineage: Eukaryota; Viridiplantae; Streptophyta; Magnoliopsida; Poales; Poaceae
Source: RefSeq, a predicted model, not a curated record
ACACAAGCACGCUAUCUCACCCUGGCCACGCAAACCUAAACCUAAACCUAAAUCGCCCACCAGCCGCCGCCACCCUUCAUCUCCGUCGAUUCGGUCAUGCCACUGCGCGUCCCACCGUCGCGCGUGCCACCCGAAGCUCCCGUCCAGCCCGUGGUGCAGCCCCACCAGCAGCAGCCUGAGGUGACGCCCCAUCGUCAGCUCAUCCCACGACCGAUGCCGCAUCUGCCGAUUCGGUCACGCCGCUGCGCCUCCACCGCCGGCGGCGCCACGCCACCACCGGAAGCUCUUGCCCAGCCCAUGGUGCAUCCCGACGUGUCGCCCUGGCGACGGCCGACCUGCUUACCAAUUUGCGCCGUUGCUUCUCCAACUGCCGUUAGUGGCCCCCAAAGCUUCCUUCCACCGCGUGGUGCUUCCAUCCACAGCCAAGGAGCCGCACAACCCCCUGCAUCCCGAGGUGCCACCCAGCCGUCCCUCUUCCACCUCGGGUGAUGGAUCUCCUAUUCCCCCUUGUCAUGCCCUCCUUUGCAUCUAACCGUUGCAUCCUGUAGUGUCUUCAAUUGAAUCUAUGUACAGAGGGAAAACUCCACAAGAGGCUUCUGAAGCUUGGUCAACGCCUUCAUGAGGACCAACCUAUAACUCGUAUGUGUCGCUGGAUAAGGCCAUGUCUUUCGUGGGUGGUGCUUGGCUGAUUUGUACAUGGAUACUAUUAAAGAAUGGUACAAACAUAUAUGGAAUAUGAAAGGUUGAUCCAAGCCAGCUUCAGGAGCUCAAGGCAUACAGGAAGACCGAGGAGGAGGGGAUGAACACACUUUUAAACCACUACCUCCAUUUCUGUGCAGUUUCUCUCAAGAUGCAAGCUGAAAUGCUGGUGAUCGAGAAGAACAGUCCUGCGAAUGGCAUCAUCAAGCUCAUCGAGCAACAUCACAUCACAAACCAUGUCAUGGGAACAUCUUCCUUCUCACCGUGUGGCCAGACCAAAUACAGCUUCGUAACAAGGUUUCAUCGAUAAACAUGCACAUCAAAAUUUCCCGCGGACUUCUAUAUAUAUUUAGGCACUAAGAUGUGGUAAAUCAUGAUGGCACACUAUCAACUUAUAUAAGGUCCUCGAGGGUAAAAGCAAGUAAUGAACAAGGAUGCAUGUGCAAGCAUAUGGUUUUCGAAAUGGCUUUUUUUUCACCAAGUGCACUUCCUGCUACCACCUAUAUGACUGCCGGUACAUGUACAAGUGCAUAUCUGAUUAUUUGCUGGUUGAGGAACUUCAAAUACAAAUCUGUAAAGUUACAAUAAGAACCUUAUUCGUUAUGCCUUUUAACAGAUCUAAGUCAAUGUGUGCAUAAUUUUCUAUUAAGGCAUGUGAUAUGCUAGUUGCUAGCCUGACUUUUGUUGAUGCUUUGUUAAGGAUAUUUUCUGUAACAAACUAUUUGUAGUACAUCUUCUAUUUUUAGAUCUUUGGGAUCAAGGGCAACUCACAAAUUUGAACAAAUUCUCAUUUCUAAGAUUGCUCAAGCGUUUAAGUUCUUUUGCAGUGACAAUGGCACGUCCACAUGUUGAUUCAAGAUGUUCUGAUGAUCGGUUUUGUUCAUAACAUGUUUGACACAUUUUGUGGAUAUGGAAGUUGAUGUCAGCUCGGUGAUCGAAGAGAUUUGGUCUCUUCCUUAAUAUCUUGUAGUAGUCAAGUGAUCGAACAAUUGGGUCUCUUAGGAGCUUAGCCAUCAUAUUUUGUAAUAGACCACGUCUUUUAUGUCGACUUACUUAUUUCCUUAUUGGUUGUAGCUGACUUGAGUGUAGCAAACUAAUGAAUCUUGUAUACAUGCUUGAAUGAAUGUAUUAAUCAAAUGGUAUCUUGUGAUGAA